Limulus polyphemus (Atlantic horseshoe crab) is the source of this 515-nucleotide long non-coding RNA. RefSeq lists it as uncharacterized. NCBI's taxonomy places the organism in Eukaryota, Metazoa, Arthropoda, Merostomata, Xiphosura, Limulidae. The record is from RefSeq and is a predicted model, not a curated record. The transcript has 2 exons.
AGAUGUGUACACAUGGGGGAACAGUGGUGGGGGUAGACUAGGAGACCCAAGCAUCGCUGGUUAUGGACCCUCUAAGAUCUCUGUGUUACCACGUGGAGGUGGUAGGAAUAUUGCUACUGCUGUGUCCUGUAGUGGAGCACACACCCUACUGGCUACCAGGUGUAUGAAGAGACUUGAUCGAACUAGCCCUGAACUGUAAUGUCCUGUUUUGCAUAACUUACUAAUGAGAAAUAUGAAAGCAACUGGAGAAAAUAAAAAAACAAACAAACAUUAUGGUCUUCCUAAAGGCUUUAUACAAGUACAUUUUUUGCUGUAUAAUGAGAUUCUAAAGCUAGAAUUUAAACCAACAAUGGUUUUAUCUUACACUCAGUAUGAAAAUAUAGUGUUUAAAGAUACUGUAACGUGAAGUCCUAGCAUAGGGGUUCCAUUCUUAAUUUUUAGCUUUUAUACCAAUUUUAAUUUCUGAGUUUUGAGUAAGGUGUCAGUGAUCCAUAUCUCACAAAAAAUAAAAUAAA